RNAcentral lists this ribosomal RNA (220 nucleotides) under Escherichia coli. Its description in RNAcentral is "partial 16S ribosomal RNA". It matches the Rfam family "Bacterial small subunit ribosomal RNA", at positions 1 to 217 of the family's 1533-position model. Lineage: Bacteria; Pseudomonadati; Pseudomonadota; Gammaproteobacteria; Enterobacterales; Enterobacteriaceae. The record is from RNAcentral.
AAAUUGAAGAGUUUGAUCAUGGCUCAGAUUGAAUGCUGGCGGCAGGCCUAACACAUGCAAGUCGAACGGUAACAGGAAACAGCUUGCUGUUUCGCUGACGAGUGGCGGACGGGUGAGUAAUGUCUGGGAAACUGCCUGAUGGAGGGGGAUAACUACUGGAAACGGUAGCUAAUACCGCAUAACGUCGCAAGACCAAAGAGGGGGACCUUCGGGCCUCUUG